AUGGCAGCCAUACUAGAAUCUUUGCUUGGAUCAUGUGCCAAUAAGUUGCAAAAUAUUAUUAGUGAUGAGGCCAUACUUAUCCUAGGGGUGGAAGAAGAGCUUGCAGAAGUGUUGCGACGGGUAGAAUUAAUACGUUGUUGUAUAUAUGAUGCUGAGAAAUGGAGGACAAAAGAGCUUGCAGUGAACAAUUGGCUUGGUCAACUGAGAGAUGUUAUAUAUGAUGUGGAUGAAAUCUUGGACGUGGCUAGAUGCAAAGGAAGCAAGCUACUGCUUGACAAUCCAUCAUCAUCAAGCAGAUCAGCUUCCUAUAAAGGCCUUUCAGUUUCCUCUUGCUUUUGUAACAUCGGGUCACGCCACGAUGUUGCUGUUCGGAUUAAAAGUCUGAACAAAAGGAUAGAGAAAAUUUCAAAAGAUACAACUUUUUUAACAUUCAGCAGUAGUACACAACCUACUGGAAAUGGUCCAACAUCCAAAGUGAUAAGAAGUUCCAACCUUGUUGAGCCCAACCUUGUGGGUAAGGAGAUCAUACAUUCUAGCAAGAAGUUGGUAGACUUAGCACUUGCUCACAAGGGAAAUAAGUCUUAUAAGCUUGCUAUUGUUGGAACAGGAGGAGUUGGUAAGACAACACUAGCUCAGAAAAUAUUCAAUGACAAAAAAAUAAAAGGAAGCUUCAAGCUACAGGCAUGGAUUUGUGUUUCGCAAGACUACAAUCAAGUAACUGUUCUAAAAGAGGUUCUUCGAAAUAUUGGUGUGUAUCAUGAGCAAGGUGAAACCAUAGCAGAACUGCAGAGAAAGCUUGCAGAAACAGUCGAAGGGAAGAGUUUCUUUCUGGUUUUAGAUGAUGUGUGGCAUCCCAAUGUCUGGGCGGAUUUAUUAAGAACCCCAUUCCAUACAACAAAUUCUGGAGUAAUAUUGGUAACCACACGAGAUGAUCAAAUUGCAAUGAGAAUAGGCAUACAACAUACCCAUCAAGUUGAUCUCAUGUCAGCAGAGGUGGGAUGGGAGCUGCUUUGGAAGAGCAUGAACAUUGCCGAAGAGAAAGAAGUGCAUAAUUUGAGAAACACAGGCAUGGAGAUUGUUGAUAAAUGUGGUCGCCUCCCUCUUGCAAUUAAGGUUACUGCUAGUGCUUUGGCAAGCAAAGAUCUAACCGAGAAUGAGUGGAGAAAGUUUUUAGGCAAAUACUCUGGCUCCCAUGGGAUGCUCUCUGAUGAAAUAGAGGGCGCUCUAUACCUAAGCUAUGAUGAGUUACCGCAUCGUCUGAAACAGUGUUUCCUUUACUGUGCUUUGUAUACUGAAGAUUCUAUCAUUUACCGUGGUGUAGUUACAAAGUUAUGGAUUGCUGAAGGCUUCAUUAUGGAGCAACAAGGUCAGCUACUAGAAGACACAGCAGAAGGGUACUACUAUGAGUUAAUCCAUCGGAAUCUCCUCCAACCAGAUAACACAAUUUUUAACCAGGCUCAAUGCAGAACGCAUGACCUCUUAAGACAGCUUGCUUGCAAAUUAUCACAGGACGAAUGCUUUAUUGGAGACGUUGAAACAUUGAGGGGUGAGAAUAUGUCAAAAUUGCGACGCCUUUCUGUUGUCAGUAAGAAGGAUAAAUUAGUGUUAACUAGCAUGGAUAACAUGGUAGUUAAGGUCAGGACAUUCCUUGCUUUUUAUGGUCCAUGGAAAAUUGAGGAUGCAUUCUUCAAGAGAUUUCUACUUCUUCGUGUUUUGGCCCUGAAUUACUCAAUUGUGCGAAACAUUCCAGAUUCUAUAGCAAAACUGAUCCAUCUACGCUUACUUGAUCUUGGUCAUACUGGCAUAUCUCAUCUUCCAGAAUCCAUUGGAUCCCUAAAGAACCUUCAAGUAUUGAGCUUGAUAAAUUGUGAUGCUCUGCACAGUCUUCCGUCGGGGAUGACCCAAUUGUGCAAUCUACGAUGUCUUCGUCUUACUGGUACAAAAGUAAAUAAGGUUCCAAAAGGGAUAGGAAAAUUAAAUUUGCUCUGA
RNAcentral lists this ribosomal RNA (1989 nucleotides) under Triticum aestivum (bread wheat). RNAcentral describes it as "partial small subunit ribosomal RNA". The record is from RNAcentral. Lineage: Eukaryota; Viridiplantae; Streptophyta; Magnoliopsida; Poales; Poaceae.